RNAcentral lists this unclassified non-coding RNA (270 nucleotides) under Hevea brasiliensis (rubber tree). The record is from RNAcentral. Lineage: Eukaryota; Viridiplantae; Streptophyta; Magnoliopsida; Malpighiales; Euphorbiaceae.
GUGUAAAUGAGCUGCGUAUGAAAAGAAAAAUAGGCAUAUAUAAGAGGAGAACAAACAGAGAGAGCUAAUACAAAACUGAUGCCAUCAUCCCCAGCAAUCAAACCGAUAGGGUGGGGAAAUACAUCAUAUGAUCAUUGUAUCAUUCUCCAACAACAAUGAGUUACUUCAAAAUGAUUACAGUCAUAAACCAAUCAAUACAUCUAUUUAGAAGAAGAAAUAAAAUUAAACGACAUAUAAGAAAAAUUUGUAGAAGAAGAAGAAGAAGAAGAA